Non-coding RNA from Pelobates cultripes (western spadefoot toad), 227 nucleotides. NCBI's taxonomy places the organism in Eukaryota, Metazoa, Chordata, Amphibia, Anura, Pelobatidae. The record is from the annotation of a GenBank genome assembly.
GUCCUAACCUCAGCAUCUGAGGAAAGGGAUUUAGGGGUGAUUAUUUCUGAUGACUUAAAGGUAGGCAGACAAUGUAAUAGAGCAGCAGGAAAUGCUAGCAGAAUGCUUGGUUGUAUAGGAAGAGGUAUUCACAGUAGAAAGAGGGAAGUGCUCAUGCCAUUGUACAGAACACUGGUGAGACCUCACUUGGAGUAUUGUACGCAGUACUGGAGACCGUAUCUUCAGAA